Molecule: ribosomal RNA, 428 nt
Filed under: Daphnia galeata
Lineage: Eukaryota; Metazoa; Arthropoda; Branchiopoda; Diplostraca; Daphniidae
Description: partial 12S ribosomal RNA
Source: RNAcentral
AAAUUUUUGAAGUUUCUCUAGCUUUUUUGUUGGGUGAAAUCAGUAUAAGAAGCUCUUUCUUCUUUAAAAAUUAGUAGGAACUAAAAAACUUUGAUUUAAAACCAGGAUUAGAUACCCUGUUAUUCUCAGUUAUUCUUAAACAGGGUAGUAAAAGUUGUUCUUCAAACCCAAAGAUUUUGGCGGCACUUUAUCCAAAUAGAGGAGCUUGUCCCUUAAUCGAUAGUCCUCGUUUUAUCUUUCCUUCAUUUGUAAAGCUUGUAUACCGCCGUUGUCAGAUUACUUUUAGAGAAUGUUUUCAAGUUAAAAGACUUUAUAACUUCAGGUCAAGGUGCAGUUAAUAUGGGGGUGGAGGUGAGCUACAGUUUUCUUUAGAAAAUAUGGAUUCUAAGCUUUGAAGCUAGCUGAAGGUGGAUUUACUAGUAAAGUAA